GAAUAGUACAGUUGGUAGGACGCCUGCUUUCUAUGCAGGAGGAAAGGGUUCGAAUCCCGCGAUGAACU
Molecule: non-coding RNA, 68 nt
Organism: Trichonephila clavipes
Lineage: Eukaryota; Metazoa; Arthropoda; Arachnida; Araneae; Nephilidae
Source: the annotation of a GenBank genome assembly